CAGCACUAAGUGGGUGGUAAACUCCAUCUAAAACUAAAUAUAACCAUGAGACCGAUAGCAAACAAGUACCGUGAGGGAAAGUUGAAAAGAACUCUGAAUAGAGAGUUAAAUAGUACGUGAAACUGCAUAGAGGUUAAGCCCGAUGAACCUGAAUAUCCGUUGUAGAAAAUUCAUCAUCAGUAUUAUAGUAUUUUUUUAAAUACUAUAUAAUGGUUGUGCACUUUUUCUACUUAAGGACAUUGUAAUCUAUUAAUGUAUAAAUGCGUAUUAAAAGAGCUUUAACAUUAGUUUAUUUUUUAUUAGCAUUGUUAAUUAAAAUAAAUGUUUUAGUUUCGAAUAUGCCAUUGAUAGAUUUCUAUAUAUAGUACUAAAAUUUUUUUAAAUUUUAUAAUAAUAUAUUUGUCAUUGAUUUAUAUGUUUAUUAUAUGUACUUAUAUGAUUUACAAUGCGAAAGAUUCAGGAUACCUUCGGGACCC
RNAcentral lists this ribosomal RNA (476 nucleotides) under Diplonevra nitidula. RNAcentral's name for it is "eukaryotic LSU rRNA". It matches the Rfam family "Eukaryotic large subunit ribosomal RNA", at positions 283 to 650 of the family's 3401-position model. The record is from RNAcentral. Lineage: Eukaryota; Metazoa; Arthropoda; Insecta; Diptera; Phoridae.